UACGAAGGGGGCUAGCGUUGUUCGGAAUUACUGGGCGUAAAGCGCACGUAGGCGGAUACUUAAGUCAGGGGUGAAAUCCCGGGGCUCAACCCCGGAACUGCCUUUGAUACUGGGUAUCUCGAGUCCGGAAGAGGUGAGUGGAAUUCCGAGUGUAGAGGUGAAAUUCGUAGAUAUUCGGAGGAACACCAGUGGCGAAGGCGGCUCACUGGUCCGGUACUGACGCUGAGGUGCGAAAGCGUGGGGAGCAAACGGG
Molecule: ribosomal RNA, 253 nt
Filed under: uncultured bacterium
Lineage: Bacteria
Description: partial 16S ribosomal RNA
Rfam family: Bacterial small subunit ribosomal RNA
Source: RNAcentral